GAUGAACGCUGGCGGCGUGCCUAAUACAUGCAAGUCGAGCGAACAGAUAAGGAGCUUGCUCCUUUGACGUUAGCGGCGGACGGGUGAGUAACACGUGGGUAACCUACCUAUAAGACUGGGAUAACUUCGGGAAACCGGAGCUAAUACCGGAUAAUAUUUCGAACCGCAUGGUUCGAUAGUGAAAGAUGGUUUUGCUAUCACUUAUAGAUGGACCCGCGCCGUAUUAGCUAGUUGGUAAGGUAACGGCUUACCAAGGCGACGAUACGUAGCCGACCUGAGAGGGUGAUCGGCCACACUGGAACUGAGACACGGUCCAGACUCCUACGGGAGGCAGCAGUAGGGAAUCUUCCGCAAUGGGCGAAAGCCUGGCGGAGCAACGCCGCGUGAGUGAUGAAGGUCUUCGGAUCGUAAAACUCUGUUAUUAGGGAAGAACAUACGUGUAAGUAACUGUGCACGUCUUGACGGUACCUAAUCAGAAAGCCACGGCUAACUACGUG
Molecule: ribosomal RNA, 497 nt
Filed under: uncultured bacterium
Lineage: Bacteria
Description: partial 16S ribosomal RNA
Rfam family: Bacterial small subunit ribosomal RNA
Source: RNAcentral